AUUUUUUUUGCCUAACUUGAGCAAUUCCAACCAAUCAUUGCUGUUGAUAAGCAUAGUUGAGCUAGGCAAAUUAGGCAAUUGAAAAUUAACAUACACUCGUAUUGUUUCUGAACAGCCUCUGUGCUCAGUUUACGGUUUUGUGAUAUUUUAUAAUGUCUUCAUUGUGUUGUGGUAAUUUAUACGAGACUGCUCAGUCUGCGUUGGCCAAAAACGAUUUAAAAUGCCUUAAUGAGCUUUAUUCUCGUUUAUUGGUCGACGUUCGACCUAUGUUUACUAACGAGCAGCUGUUAGAUAGAAUUUAUGACCCCGACCAUACUCUGUGUCGAAAAUUUGGAGAUGAAAUAUAUGUGCCAAAGCACGCUCAUGACGGAAAGACUUGUACUGCAAUAAGACUGAAGCUUCUGGCAAUUGCCUCUACAGUUCAGCUUCCCUAGUUCUGGUAGGUAACAAUGCAUUGGUCCCUACUUUGCGAAUUUUAACAUCGCUUGAGCUAUUUGGUCAUGCUGCUUUUUAUGCUCAACACCCAUGCUUUUUGUCUGCUAUAAGUGAGCACAGUGAUUACUUUGCCCAAAGCUUAAACAAUCUUUUGCCUUUGUCAGUGUCUAAAGAAUGUUUAGACACUGGAUAUACAACAGAUGAACUGGUAAAACAGGAGGCUAUUUUAAAUUGUAAUGACUAGAAAUGGUCAUCUUUUCUUUGUAUUUUGGGCCUAUCUUCUGUUUUAGGUAGAAAAAUUCAUACUUUUUAUCCUGAUUCUGGUGAAAGUAGAUAUAAAUUGUUAUUUAAUCGUAUUGUUCAGCCCCGGUUAUUAAGCCAAAGAGGUUUGGAUGCUAUUAAUAUUUUGUUUUGUCAUGAAGGAUCUGUACAACCAGGUGAGACUUUUCAGUCUAAUCAUUUUGUGCCUCUCAUUUUCCAUGCCCACAGGUUGAAGCGAAAAUUGUCUAAUUCCUGUACACAGUCUAAUUUUAGCAGCUCAACAACAGAGAAAGGAAAAUUUGUCAAAAUUUUUCCAAAUAUUGCACCAAAAACAGUUGACAUUUCAAAUUUUUUUACUUCAACUAAUAGGCCUGCUGCCCAACCAACUUUUAAAAGGAUGCCCAAUGAGAGUUUUUCUUCUGCUGCAGCUCUUGCUCAGACAUUAAAUAAAGCCAAUAGUCUUUUGCUUCACACAUCAUCCCAGGAACUAUUGCCUGGUAUUCCAACUUCUGGUGAUAUGCAACCUGCUGUUUUAACCCAUAAUUUUGAUGUUUCCUUGUAUAGGGAGAAAGUUAAGGGUAUGGAUAAUUCUGAAAUAUGUCAUUUGAUAAAAAAUGUAUAUAAACCAGAUAAAAAGUAUCAUUUUCCUAAAUCUAAUGGCAGAUCAUUUAGGCAUGAUUGGCUAGACCAGCAUGAAUGGCUUUGCUAUUCACCUUCACAAAAUGGUGCGUAUUGUCUAUCGUGUGUGUUGUUUGGCAAUAGAUUCCCAGGCAAGGCCAGUAAAGUAAAAAAGUUGUUUACUGAACCUCUUCAAGAUUGGUAGAAUGCUAAAUGCUCUUUCACUCAACAUGCUGGAAAAAGUGAAGGGAGGGAAGUCGGUUUGCAUGCAUCCACAUCACCAAUUUUUGAUGCUUUGCGUUCCCAAAUAUCAGGUACUCUGCAGCCUAUCGAGAUGAUCAUGGAUGCUGGUAUCAAGAAAGAAAUAGA
Xenia sp. Carnegie-2017 is the source of this 1683-nucleotide long non-coding RNA. RefSeq lists it as uncharacterized. The record is from RefSeq and is a predicted model, not a curated record. The transcript has 2 exons. Lineage: Eukaryota; Metazoa; Cnidaria; Anthozoa; Malacalcyonacea; Xeniidae.